GCGCGAAACCUCCGCAAUGCACGCAAGUGCGACGGGGGAACCCCAAGUGCCACUCUUAACGGGGUGGCUUUUCAGAAGUGUAAAAAGCUUCUGGAAUAAGGGCUGGGCAAGACCGGUGCCAGCCGCCGCGGUAACACCGGCAGCUCAAGUGGUAGCCGCUUUUAUUGGGCCUAAAGCGUCCGUAGCCGGUCUGAUAAGUCUCUGGUGAAAUCCCACAGCUUAACUGUGGGAAUUGCUGGAGAUACUAUCAUGACUCGAGGUCGGGAGAGGCUGGAGGUACUCCCAGGGUAGGGGUGAAAUCCUGUAAUCCUGGGAGGACCACCUGUGGC
Molecule: ribosomal RNA, 329 nt
Filed under: uncultured Methanothermobacter sp.
Lineage: Archaea; Methanobacteriati; Methanobacteriota; Methanobacteria; Methanobacteriales; Methanobacteriaceae
Description: bacterial SSU rRNA
Rfam family: Archaeal small subunit ribosomal RNA
Source: RNAcentral